GACGAACGCUGGCGGUGUGCUUAACACAUGCAAGUCGAACGGUAAGGCCCUUUCGGGGGUACACGAGUGGCGAACGGGUGAGUAACACGUGAGUAACCUGCCCUCAUCUCUGGGAUAACAGUCGGAAACGGUUGCUAAUACUGGAUAUGAGCUUGCAAGGCAUCUUGUGGGUUGGAAAGAUUUUUUUGGUUGGGGAUGGACUCGCGGCCUAUCAGCUUGUUGGUGAGGUAGUGGCUCACCAAGGCUUCGACGGGUAGCCGGCCUGAGAGGGCGACCGGCCACAUUGGGACUGAAAUACGGCCCAAACUCCUACGGGAGGCAGCAGUGGGGAAUAUUGCACAAUGGACGGAAGUCUGAUGCAGCAACGCCGCGUGCGGGAUGACGGCCUUCGGGUUGUAAACCGCUUUCAAUUGUGACGAAGCUUUUUGUGACGGUAGCAGUAGAAGAAGCACCGGCUAACUACGUG
Molecule: ribosomal RNA, 466 nt
Filed under: uncultured bacterium
Lineage: Bacteria
Description: partial 16S ribosomal RNA
Rfam family: Bacterial small subunit ribosomal RNA
Source: RNAcentral